Molecule: small RNA, 318 nt
Filed under: Histoplasma ohiense
Lineage: Eukaryota; Fungi; Ascomycota; Eurotiomycetes; Onygenales; Ajellomycetaceae
Description: hypothetical lncRNA
Source: RNAcentral
ACGUUUUUUAAUGGAUCGGUGCAAAAUCUGUAAAUCUGCAAAUCUCCAGCCAUUACUUCCGUUUCUAUGCAGCCUAGGACUACUAGUUGAAGCAAAUCAAUGGGAAGAAGCUGCUCGCAGCCAGUUCACAUUGUCUAGAUGAACUGACACGAAAGUAGCUCAUGUGAGCGAAUAUGUUCUGUCUGUUCCUGCGGUAUAUUUAUAUUUCUAUCCAAUGAAAUGAAUAUGAGCAGGGCAACUUGAGACUACAAUUGAGCAGUAUUUUGGGAGUACGAUCACAGACAUUCAGCGUUUUUGCCCAAGAUCUAGUAUUAGUCC